CCUACGGGAGGCAGCAGUGAGGAAUAUUGGUCAAUGGACGAGAGUCUGAACCAGCCAAGUCGCGUGAAGGAUGACUGCUCUAUGGGUUGUAAACUUCUUUUAUAAAGGAAUAAAACGAGGCACGUGUGCCUUUUUGCAUGUACCUUAUGAAUAAGGAUCGGCUAACUCCGUGCCAGCAGCCGCGGUAAUACGGAGGAUCCGAGCGUUAUCCGGAUUUAUUGGGUGUAAAGGGAGCGUAGAUGGGUUGUUAAGUCAGUUGUGAAAGUUUGCGGCUCAACCGUAGAAUUGCAAUUGAUACUGGCAGUCUUGAGUAUAGUUGAGGUAGGCGGAAUUCGUGGUGUAGCGGUGAAAUGCGUAGAUAUCACGAAGAACCCCGAUUGCGAAGGCAGCUUACUAAACUGUGACUGACGUUGAGGCUCGAAAGUGUGGGGAUCAAACAGGAUUAGAUACCCUUGUAGUC
RNAcentral lists this ribosomal RNA (460 nucleotides) under uncultured bacterium. Its description in RNAcentral is "partial 16S ribosomal RNA". It matches the Rfam family "Bacterial small subunit ribosomal RNA", at positions 338 to 795 of the family's 1533-position model. The record is from RNAcentral.